RNAcentral lists this non-coding RNA (30 nucleotides) under Mus musculus (house mouse). Lineage: Eukaryota; Metazoa; Chordata; Mammalia; Rodentia; Muridae. The record is from RNAcentral.
AGCUCAAAGGACAGAGUUCGCUUGUGUGGU